This 253-nucleotide ribosomal RNA is filed under the name uncultured bacterium. RNAcentral describes it as "partial 16S ribosomal RNA". It matches the Rfam family "Bacterial small subunit ribosomal RNA", at positions 524 to 776 of the family's 1533-position model. The record is from RNAcentral.
UACGGAGGGGGCUAGCGUUAAUCGGAGUUACUGGGCGUAAAGGGCGCGUAGGCGGUUUUAUAAGUUAGUUGUGAAAUACCUGGGCUUAACCUGGGAACUGCAACUAAGACUGUGAGACUGGAGUACUGUAGAGGGUAGUGGAAUUUCCGGUGUAGCGGUGAAAUGCGUAGAGAUCGGAAGGAACACCAGUGGCGAAGGCGGCUACCUGGACAGAUACUGACGCUGAGGCGCGAGAGCGUGGGGAGCAAACAGG